This 1475-nucleotide ribosomal RNA is filed under the name Candidatus Pelagibacter sp. RNAcentral describes it as "bacterial SSU rRNA". It matches the Rfam family "Bacterial small subunit ribosomal RNA". The record is from RNAcentral. Lineage: Bacteria; Pseudomonadati; Pseudomonadota; Alphaproteobacteria; Candidatus Pelagibacterales; Candidatus Pelagibacteraceae.
AAACUUGAGAGUUUGAUCAUGGCUCAGAACGUACGCUGGCGGCACGCCUAACACAUGCAAGUCGAACGAAGUAGCAAUACUUAGUGGCAGACGGGUGAGUAACAUGUAGGUAUCUGCCCUUUGGCCUGGAAUAACACGAGGAAACUUGUGCUAAUACCGGAUAAGUCUUUACGGAGAAAGCUUUAUGCACCAUUGGAUGAGCCUGCACUUGAUUAGUUUGUUGGUGGGGUAAUGGCCUACCAAGACUGUGAUCAAUAGCUGAUUUGAGAGGAUGAUCAGCCACAUUGGGACUGAGACACGGCCCAAACUCCUACGGGAGGCAGCAGUGGGGAAUCUUGCACAAUGGAGGAAACUCUGAUGCAGCGAUGCCGCGUGAGUGAAGAAGGCCCUUGGGUUGUAAAGCUCUUUCGUCGGGGAAGAAAAUGACUGUACCCGAAUAAGAAGGUCCGGCUAACUUCGUGCCAGCAGCCGCGGUAAUACGAAGGGACCUAGCGUAGUUCGGAAUUACUGGGCUUAAAGAGUUCGUAGGUGGUUGAAAUAGUUGGUGGUGAAAUCCCAGAGCUUAACUCUGGAACUGCCAUCAAAACUUUUCAGCUAGAGUAUGAUAGAGGAAAGCAGAAUUUCUAGUGUAGAGGUGAAAUUCGUAGAUAUUAGAAAGAAUACCAAUUGCGAAGGCAGCUUUCUGGAUCAUUACUGACACUGAGGAACGAAAGCAUGGGUAGCGAAGAGGAUUAGAUACCCUCGUAGUCCAUGCCGUAAACGAUGUGUGUUAGACGUUGGAAAUUUAUUUUCAGUGUCGCAGGGAAACCGAUAAACACACCGCCUGGGGAGUACGACCGCAAGGUUAAAACUCAAAUGAAUUGACGGGGACCCGCACAAGUAGUGGAGCAUGUGGUUUAAUUCGAAGAUACGCGCAGAACCUUACCAACACUUGACAUGUUCGUCGCGACUUUAAGAGAUUAAAGUUUUCGGUUCGGCCGGACGAAACACAGGUGCUGCAUGGCUGUCGUCAGCUCGUGUCGUGAGAUGUUGGGUUAAGUCCCGCAACGAGCGCAACCCUCACUUUUAGUUGCCAUCAUUAAGUUGGGCACUCUGAAAGAACUGCCAGUGAUAAGCUGGAGGAAGGUGGGGAUGACGUCAAGUCCUCAUGGCCCUUACGUGUUGGGCUACACACGUGCUACAAUGGUAUCUACAACAGGAAGCAAGACUGCGAAGUUAAGCAAAUCCUUAAAAGAUACCUCAGUUCGGAUUGCACUCUGCAACUCGAGUGCAUGAAGCUGGAAUUACUAGUAAUCGUGGAUCAGCGUGCCACGGUGAAUGCGUUCCCGGGUCUUGUACACACCGCCCGUCACACCAUGGGAGUUGGUUCUACCUUAAGGCAAGGUUUUAAACCCUUGACCACGGUAUAGUCAGCGACUGGGGUGAAGUCGUAACAAGGUAGCCGUAGGGGAACCUGCGGCUGGAUUACCUCCUUU